This 72-nucleotide transfer RNA is filed under the name Pituna poranga. Its description in RNAcentral is "tRNA-Asn". It matches the Rfam family "tRNA". Rfam says of the family: Transfer RNA (tRNA) molecules are approximately 80 nucleotides in length. Their secondary structure includes four short double-helical elements and three loops (D, anti-codon, and T loops). Lineage: Eukaryota; Metazoa; Chordata; Actinopteri; Cyprinodontiformes; Rivulidae. The record is from RNAcentral.
AGAUAGAAGUCCAUUGGCUUGGGCAUUUAAUUGUUAAUUAAGAGUUUGUAGGAUCGAAGCCUUCCUAUCUAG